GAAAUCUGAAUUCUUUUCAGAAAAAAAAAAAUUGCCUGCAUAAUAUGAAAUUAGCUAAAGCCCUGCAUAAUCUGAAAUUAGUUAAUGCCCUACAUAUGGUUUGCACCUCCACAUGGCAUAAUAUGAAAUCAUAAUUUAAUAUUAGAUUUAUUAUUUUCUUCCAACCCAUCUGAACACCAAUAUUACAACGAUUUCUUUAUCGAAACAAGUCUUAUAACAAAUCAUACACAUCAGACACCAUUACAAGUUCCAAAGUUCCUUUUGAAGAGGAUCACAAAAGAUUAUUGGGCAUUUCAUGUGUGCUUUCAUGUGGCCAGAUGGUCUGCAACCUGGUUAAGAACAAUUAAAUUGGUAUUUUUAGAACAACUUCCGUAAUUCUAAAAUUCUGAAACAGUCAAAGGAAAAAGAUUAAGUGCUAACACUAAUGCAAACACAGGCAAAUCAGUUUUGCCAACUGAACUGAUGUCUGAUAGAAAAAGAUUAAGUCCUAACACUAAUGCAAACACAGGCAAAUCAGUUUGAUCAUGCUAUCACACAUAAAGCAGGCUUGAAAAAAAGAAGAAAAGGAGAUAAACAAAUUCAAAGAAUACCUUACGAGUGAUUGGAAGCAAUGUCAAAAGCUCAAA
Molecule: long non-coding RNA, 626 nt
Filed under: Aquilegia coerulea
Lineage: Eukaryota; Viridiplantae; Streptophyta; Magnoliopsida; Ranunculales; Ranunculaceae
Description: long non-coding RNA (ACOE_LNC000944)
Source: RNAcentral